AUACUUACCUGGUACGGGAGCAACCCCUGAUCCGCUAGGUGGUCCUCCCAGGGCGGGGCUAACCAUUUCCACCUCGGAUGGGGCUGACCCUGCCGAUCGCCCCAAUGUGGGCGACUCGGAGUACGAAAUUUUUUAGUGUGGGGAGUCUGCGGUUCGCGCUAACCCCCC
This 168-nucleotide small nuclear RNA is filed under the name Gigantopelta aegis. RNAcentral's name for it is "U1 spliceosomal RNA". It matches the Rfam family "U1 spliceosomal RNA". Rfam says of the family: U1 is a small nuclear RNA (snRNA) component of the spliceosome (involved in pre-mRNA splicing). The record is from RNAcentral. Lineage: Eukaryota; Metazoa; Mollusca; Gastropoda; Neomphalida; Peltospiridae.